AGUCUGCAACCCGACUACAUGAAGCUGGAAUCGCUAGUAAUCGCGGAUCAGAAUGCCGCGGUGAAUACGUUCCCGGGUCUUGUACACACCGCCCGUCACACCAUGGGAGUCGGAAAUGCCCGAAGUCUGUGACCCAACCGUAAGGAGGGAGCAGCCGAAGGCAGGUCUGAUAACUGGGGUGAAGUCGUAACAAGGUAGC
This 199-nucleotide ribosomal RNA is filed under the name uncultured bacterium. RNAcentral describes it as "partial 16S ribosomal RNA". It matches the Rfam family "Bacterial small subunit ribosomal RNA", at positions 1302 to 1500 of the family's 1533-position model. The record is from RNAcentral.